RNAcentral lists this non-coding RNA (79 nucleotides) under unclassified sequences. Its description in RNAcentral is "S15-Methanomicrobia ribosomal protein leader". It matches the Rfam family "S15-Methanomicrobia ribosomal protein leader". The record is from RNAcentral.
AGCACUGUAACAGGUGCUGGCAGAAGUAAAUCCGACGUGGCAGAUGUCACGGCCUGAAUGAAUCAGGCUCAGGGAUUAC